This 495-nucleotide ribosomal RNA is filed under the name uncultured bacterium. Its description in RNAcentral is "bacterial SSU rRNA". It matches the Rfam family "Bacterial small subunit ribosomal RNA", at positions 28 to 524 of the family's 1533-position model. The record is from RNAcentral.
GAUGAACGCUAGCGGCAGGCCUAAUACAUGCAAGUCGAACGGUAAGGCCCUUUCGGGGGUACACGAGUGGCGGACGGGUGCGUAACGCGUAUGCAACAUACCUUCAAGCGGGGGAUAUGCCAGGGAAACUUGGUGCAACACCCCAUAGCAUUUCGGGACCGCAUGGUCUUGGGAUUAAAUAUUUAUAGCUUGGAGAUUGGCAUGCGUGACAUUAGCUAGUUGGCGGGUAACGGCCCACCAAGGCGACGAUGUCUAGCUGGUCUGAGAGGAUGAUCAGCCACACUGGGACUGAGACACGGCCCAGACUCCUACGGGAGGCAGCAGUAGGGAAUAUUGGACAAUGGGGGGAACCCUGAUCCAGCCAUGCCGCGUGAGGGAAGAAGGUCCUCUGGAUUGUAAACCUCUUUUGGCGGGGGACAAACCUGCACUAUACGUGCAGCUGAGGGUACCCGCAGAAUAAGCACCGGCUAACUCCGUGCCAGCAGCCGCGGUAAU